AUUGAACGCUGGCGGCAGGCUUAACACAUGCAAGUCGAGCGGAGAGAGGUAGCUUGCUACUGAUCUUAGCGGCGGACGGGUGAGUAAUGCUUAGGAAUCUGCCUAUUAGUGGGGGACAACAUUUCGAAAGGAAUGCUAAUACCGCAUACGUCCUACGGGAGAAAGCAGGGGAUCUUCGGACCUUGCGCUAAUAGAUGAGCCUAAGUCGGAUUAGCUAGUUGGUGGGGUAAAGGCCUACCAAGGCGACGAUCUGUAGCGGGUCUGAGAGGAUGAUCCGCCACACUGGGACUGAGACGCGGCCCAGACUCCUACGGGAGGCAGCAGUGGGGAAUAUUGGACAAUGGGCGGAAGCCUGAUCCAGCCAUGCCGCGUGUGUGAAGAAGGCCUUAUGGUUGUAAAGCACUUUAAGCGAGGAGGAGGCUACUUUAGUUAAUACCUAGAGAUAGUGGACGUUACUCGCAGAAUAAGCACCGGCUAACUCUGUGCCAGCAGCCGCCGCGG
Molecule: ribosomal RNA, 501 nt
Filed under: uncultured bacterium
Lineage: Bacteria
Description: partial 16S ribosomal RNA
Rfam family: Bacterial small subunit ribosomal RNA
Source: RNAcentral